Molecule: ribosomal RNA, 444 nt
Filed under: uncultured Alphaproteobacteria bacterium
Lineage: Bacteria; Pseudomonadati; Pseudomonadota; Alphaproteobacteria
Description: bacterial SSU rRNA
Rfam family: Bacterial small subunit ribosomal RNA
Source: RNAcentral
GAACGCUUGCUGCAUGCUUUAUACAUGCAAGUCGAACGGAGGCCCUAGCUUGCUAGGUGUCCUUAGUGGCGCACGGGUGAGUAACACGUGGGAACAUACCUUAUAGUACGGAAUAACUGCGGGAAACUGUAGCUAAUACCGUAUAUUCCAGCAAUGGGAAAGAUUUAUCGCUAUAAGAUUGGCCCGCGCAAGAUUAGCUUGUUGGUGAGGUAAAAGCUCACCAAGGCUUCGAUCUUUAGCUGGUUUGAGAGGACGAUCAGCCACACUGGGACUGAGACACGGCCCAGACUCCUACGGGAGGCAGCAGUAGGGAAUAUUGGACAAUGGGGGCAACCCUGAUCCAGCAAUGCAGCGUGAGUGACGAAGGCCUUAGGGUUGUAAAACUCUUUCAUCGGUGAGGAUAAUGACAGUAGCCGAAGAAGAAGGACCGGCUAAUUCCGUGCC